Molecule: ribosomal RNA, 301 nt
Filed under: uncultured bacterium
Lineage: Bacteria
Description: partial 16S ribosomal RNA
Rfam family: Bacterial small subunit ribosomal RNA
Source: RNAcentral
CAGCAGCCACGGGAAUACGUAGGGUGCGAGCGUUAAUCGGAAUUACUGGGCGUAAAGCGUGCGCAGGCGGUUUUGUAAGACAGGCGUGAAAUCCCCGGGCUCAACCUGGGAAUGGCGCUUGUGACUGCAAAGCUAGAGUGCGGCAGAGGGGGAUGGAAUUCCGCGUGUAGCAGUGAAAUGCGUAGAUAUGCGGAGGAACACCGAUGGCGAAGGCAAUCCCCUGGGCCUGCACUGACGCUCAUGCACGAAAGCGUGGGGAGCAAACAGGAUUAGAUACCCCGGUAGUCCCUGUCUCUUAUAU